Molecule: transfer RNA, 86 nt
Filed under: Methanobacteriota archaeon
Lineage: Archaea; Methanobacteriati; Methanobacteriota
Description: Euryarchaeota archaeon (freshwater metagenome) tRNA-Ser
Rfam family: tRNA
About the family: Transfer RNA (tRNA) molecules are approximately 80 nucleotides in length.
Source: RNAcentral
GCAGAGGUAGCCAAGCGGACGACGGCGCCGGCCUUGAGAGCCGGUGGAGCACCAGCUCUUCGGGAGUUCAAAUCUCCCCCUCUGCG